RNAcentral lists this ribosomal RNA (460 nucleotides) under uncultured bacterium. RNAcentral's name for it is "partial 16S ribosomal RNA". It matches the Rfam family "Bacterial small subunit ribosomal RNA", at positions 338 to 795 of the family's 1533-position model. The record is from RNAcentral.
CCUACGGGUGACAGCAGUGAGGAAUAUUGGUCAAUGGACGAGAGUCUGAACCAGCCAAGUAGCGUGAAGGAUGACUGCCCUAUGGGUUGUAAACUUCUUUUAUAAGGGAAUAAAAUGUGCCACGUGUGGGAUUUUGUAUGUACCAUAUGAAUAAGGAUCGGCUAACUCCGUGCCAGCAGCCGCGGUAAUACGGAGGAUCCGAGCGUUAUCCGGAUUUAUUGGGUUUAAAGGGAGCGUAGGUGGAUUGUUAAGUCAGUUGUGAAAGUUUGCGGCUCAACCGUAAAAUUGAAGUUGAAACUGGCAGUCUUGAGUACAGUUGAGGUGGGCGGAAUUCGUGGUGUAGCGGUGAAAUGCUUAGAUAUCACGAAGAACUCCGAUUGCGAAGGCAGUUCACUAGACUGCCACUGACACUGAGGCUCGAAAGUGUGGGUAUCAAACAGGAUUAGAUACCCGGGUAGUC